UACGUAGGGUGCAAGCGUUAAUCGGAAUUACUGGGCGUAAAGCGUGCACAGGCGGUUUUGUAAGUCUGUCGUGAAAUCCCCGGGCUCAACCUGGGAAUUGCGAUGGAGACUGCAAGGCUAGAAUCUGGCAGAGGGGGGUAGAAUUCCACGUGUAGCAGUGAAAUGCGUAGAGAUGUGGAGGAACACCGAUGGCGAAGGCAGCCCCCUGGGUCAAGAUUGACGCUCAUGCACGAAAGCGUGGGGAGCAAACAGG
This 253-nucleotide ribosomal RNA is filed under the name uncultured bacterium. RNAcentral's name for it is "partial 16S ribosomal RNA". It matches the Rfam family "Bacterial small subunit ribosomal RNA", at positions 524 to 776 of the family's 1533-position model. The record is from RNAcentral.